Molecule: unclassified non-coding RNA, 145 nt
Filed under: soil metagenome
Description: partial internal transcribed spacer 1
Source: RNAcentral
CCGAGUUUACAACUCCAAACCCUGUGAACUAUACACUUGUUGCCUCGGCGGAUCAGCCCGCUCCCGGUAAAACGGGACGGCCCGCCAGAGGACCCCUAAACUCUGUUUCUAUAUGUAACUUCUGAGUAAAACCAUAAAUAAAUCA